Long non-coding RNA from Octopus sinensis (East Asian common octopus), 202 nucleotides. RefSeq lists it as uncharacterized. The record is from RefSeq and is a predicted model, not a curated record. The transcript is spliced from 3 exons. NCBI's taxonomy places the organism in Eukaryota, Metazoa, Mollusca, Cephalopoda, Octopoda, Octopodidae.
UAAUAGUAAUAAUAAUAAUAAUAAUAAUAAUGUUAAAUUGGAUACAAGUGGUAUAAGCACAAACCACAGAAAGUGGCUAAGUUGGAGACUAGCAAAAUUCUCAGGGAUUUCCCAAUCCAAACAGAUCAGGUGCUAGAGCAUAACAGACCAGAUCUAGUGGUGGUGGACAAGGUGCACCACAUAUGCUGUAUAGUUGAUGUUG